AGCAGCCGCGGUAAUUCCAGCUCCAAUAGCGUAUAUUAAAGUUGUUGCAGUUAAAAAGCUCGUAGUUGAAUUUCGGGACCAAUAUGUCGGUCGUGCCUCGGUACGUACUGGUGUCAUUGGUUUCUCUCUUCUGAGGAUCCUUGAUGUCAUUAAUUUGGUGUCUUGGGAAAUCAGGACUGUUACCUUGAAAAAAUUAGAGUGUUUAAAGCAGGCAUCCGCUUGAGUACAUUAGCAUGGAAUAAUGAAAUAGGACGUUCGAUUCUAUUUUGUUGGUUUCUAGGAUCGAUGUAAUGAUUAAUAGGGAUAGUUGGGGGCAUUAGUAUUCAAUUGUCAGAGGUGAAAUUCUUGGAUUUAUUGAAGACUAACUACUGCGAAAGCAUUUGCCAAGGAUGUUUUCAUUAAUCAAGAACGAAAGUUAGGGGAUCGAAGACGAUCAGAUACCGUCGUAGUCUUAACCAUAAACUAUGCCGACUAGGGAUCGGAUGAUGUUAAUUUUUUAAUGACUCAUUCGGCGCCUUACG
This 521-nucleotide ribosomal RNA is filed under the name uncultured Glomus. RNAcentral describes it as "SSU rRNA". It matches the Rfam family "Eukaryotic small subunit ribosomal RNA", at positions 569 to 1092 of the family's 1831-position model. Lineage: Eukaryota; Fungi; Glomeromycota; Glomeromycetes; Glomerales; Glomeraceae. The record is from RNAcentral.